GAUGAAGAACGUAGCGAAAUGCGAUACGUAAUGUGAAUUGCAGAAUUCAGUGAAUCAUCGAAUCUUUGAACGCAUAUUGCGCUCUCUGGUAUUCCGGAGAGCAUGCUUGUUUGAGUAUCAGUAAACACCUCAACUUCCAUAUCUUUUUUGAAAUGGGAGUUGGACUUGAGUGAUCCCAACGCUUUUCCUCACCGAAAAGUGGCGGGUUACUUGAAAUGCAGGUGCAGCUGGACUUUUCUCUGAGCUAUAAGCAUAUCUAUUUAGUCUGCCUAAAAAACAGAUUAUUACCUUUGCUGCAGCUAACAUAAAGGAGAUUAGUUCUUGUGUUGACUGAUGCAGGAUUCACAAAGACAGGCUUCGGCCGACUUUGUAAACUCGAUCUCAAAUCAAGUAAGACUACCCGCUGAACUUAAGCAUAUCAAUAAGCGGAGGA
This 433-nucleotide unclassified non-coding RNA is filed under the name soil metagenome. RNAcentral describes it as "partial contains 5.8S ribosomal RNA, internal transcribed spacer 2, and large subunit ribosomal RNA". The stretch from base 1 to 120 matches the Rfam family "5.8S ribosomal RNA", at positions 35 to 154 of the family's 154-position model. The record is from RNAcentral.